This 423-nucleotide ribosomal RNA is filed under the name uncultured bacterium. RNAcentral describes it as "bacterial SSU rRNA". It matches the Rfam family "Bacterial small subunit ribosomal RNA", at positions 358 to 773 of the family's 1533-position model. The record is from RNAcentral.
GGAAUCUUGCGCAAUGGGCGAAAGCUUGACGCAGCCACGCCGCGUGGAUGAUGAAGGCCUUCGGGUCGUAAAGUCCUUUUCUGAAGGAAGAACAGCCUUCAGAGGAAAUGCUCGAGGGUUGACGGUACUUCAGGAAUCAGCCACGGCUAACUCUGUGCCAGCAGCCGCGGUAAUACAGAGGUGGCAAGCGUUGUUCGGAAUUACUGGGCGUAAAGGGAGCGCAGGCGGCCAGGUCAGUCUGAAGUGCAAGCCCGGGGCUCCACCCCGGAUUUGCUUUGGAUACUGCCUGGCUUGAGUACGUCAGAGGUGAGCGGAAUUCCAGGUGUAGCGGUGAAAUGCGUAGAUAUCUGGAGGAACAUCGGUGGCGAAAGCGGCUCACUGAGACGAAACUGACGCUGAGGCUCGAAAGCGUGGGGAGCGAAC